This is a long non-coding RNA of Artibeus jamaicensis (Jamaican fruit-eating bat), 483 nucleotides long. RefSeq lists it as uncharacterized. The transcript is spliced from 3 exons. The record is from RefSeq and is a predicted model, not a curated record. NCBI's taxonomy places the organism in Eukaryota, Metazoa, Chordata, Mammalia, Chiroptera, Phyllostomidae.
GACGGGUUGGAGCAACUCAUGUCUGGAAGUCUUCGUCAGACUCCCGUGGAACGCCGACCUGUAAGGGGUGGUAGGAAAAGGAGGCCGAGAGUGACAGGACCAGAGAGUGGCAUCAUGGACGUCCAAAGAUGACCUCAAGCAAGAGGAGUAUAUGGGCUGUCCUGCGUGUUAUUCAGUAGCAUCCCUGGGCUGUACCCACCGAUGACGACAGCAUCCCCUCCUUCCUCUUCAGCUGUGGCAACCAAAACCUGCCGAACAUUCCCCUGCGGGGGGAAAGCAUCCUCUGCCAAGGACCACUGCUCUCCCCCCAUGCCAGCAGCACCCUGACCUGAUUACUGAAGCCGGACACCCAGUGGACGUCUUCUCAGCUCAGUCUUCUUCAAGCUUGUACUGGCUGUGCACGGACCCUCAUUCUUCCGUGUGUGUUUUAGUGAGCCUCCCGGUCGCUGGGGCGCUGAGAGGAGCUACACUGAGUUUAUAGAU